Pocillopora verrucosa is the source of this 780-nucleotide long non-coding RNA. RefSeq lists it as uncharacterized. The record is from RefSeq and is a predicted model, not a curated record. NCBI's taxonomy places the organism in Eukaryota, Metazoa, Cnidaria, Anthozoa, Scleractinia, Pocilloporidae.
CGUAAAUCAUUCAAAAAUGGCCGCCGCAGACGAGGAAGACAAGAAAACAAAGUAAAUGCCUUUUUACGGCAAAAGUUGGAUUUUUUUGGCGUGUUCAAUUCUCCGAAGUUCUGUUCCCGCUACACACGUUGAACCAUGGUUUGUACGCAGUAAAAGGUGUCUUUACCUUAACUGAUGCAGUAUGGGGCACCUCAAUGUUCACUACCUGAGGUGUAAAUAUCUGAUGUGGUUGAGCAGGAAUGCUCCAUGGUGGUGGCGCAGGGCCAUUCUGAGGACCAUCGAUCAUCUGACCUACAUUCAUAAACAAACUGUUACCUACAGAUACUUCGAUAAGUGGUUUUAGCAUGGUUUCUGUUGCCAUACAUGUAUAUUGGAACGCUUGGCUCUUCUAGCUUUGUAAAUGAAACAAACUUGUGAAAUGUCAAAGUCAAGAAAGUAGUAACAAGCAUUAGAGAAAACAGCAUCAUGAGCCUUGGGCUUCCAUUUGCAUUUUCAAAAGCCCAGCUAAAUAAUUAUGGACUCCCAAAGAUUGACACUUUUAUCUAUUAGUUUAUUUCAUUUUUUAUUCAACUCACCUCGGUAAGGUUCAUGCUUCCAAGCUGUGGAUCUUGAUUCACAAAAACUAUUCAAGUGAUACUGGAAAUUAAAAACAGAUAAUCAAUGAUAUCAAUCAUAAGAUGAGUUGCAAUUUCUGUGGUACCAGGUCUUCAUCCUACUGUGUCACUACAAUUAGCUGGAGUUGUUCCCUGACAGUAUCAAGGUUACAUCUUAAACCAUGUU